GUGACCCAGUACAGGCUGUCUGAAGGUAACCCAGUACAGGCUGUCUGAAGGUAACCCAGUACUGACUGUCUGAAGGUAACCCAGUACUGACUGUCUGAAGGUGACCCAGUACUGACUGUCUGAAGGUAACCCAGUACAGACUGUCUGAAGGUGACCCAGUACAGGCUGUCUGAAGGUAACCCAGUACAGGCUGUCUGAAGGUAACCCAGUACAGGCUGUCUGAAGGUAACCCAGUACAGGCUGUCUGAAGGUGACCCAGUACAGGCUGUCUGAAGGUGACCCAGUACAGACUGUCUGAAGGUAACCCAGUACUGACUGUCUGAAGGUGACCCAGUACUGACUGUCUGAAGGUAACCCAGUACUGACUGUCUGAAGGUAACCCAGUACUGGCUGUCUGAAGGUAACCCAGUACAGACUGUCUGAAGGUGACCCAGUACAGGCUGUCUGAAGGUAACCCAGUACAGGCUGUCUGAAGGUAACCCAGUACUGACUGUCUGAAGGUAACCCAGUACUGACUGUCUGAAGGUAACCCAGUAAUGACUGUCUGAAGGUAACCCAGAACUGACUGUCUGAAGGUAACCCAGUACUGGCUGUCUGAAGGUAACCCAAUACUGACUGUCUGAAGGUAACCCAGUACUGGCUGUCUGAAGGUAACCCAGUACUGGCUGUCUGAAGGUAACCCAGUACUGGCUGUCUGAAGGUAACCCAGUACUGGCUGUCUGAAGGUAACCCAGUACUGGCUGUCUGAAGGUAACUCAGUACUGGCUGUCUGAAGGUAACUCAGUACUGGCUGUCUGAAGGUAACUCAGUACUGGCUGUCUGAAGGUAACCCAGUACUGGCUGUCUGAAGGUAACCCAGUACUGGCUGUCUGAAGGUGACCCAGUACUGACUGUCUGAAGGUGACCCAGUACUGACUGUCUGAAGGUGACCCAGUACUGACUGUCUGAAGGUAACCCAGUACUGGGCCGGAAAAUGAAUGGAAGUGAAUAGGUCAUUUCCACAUCAAAGGGUCAUUCCACUGUAAAACAAUUAUAAAUAAAUCCUGAGCUUUCUUACAGCGCUCAGAUAUAAGACAGACACCUCGAAACAUACUUUAAAAAAAAAAUGAAAUGUUGUUGACUAGCUGUUUGACCAUGUUUAGACACAUCUCAGAAUGUCCUCUCCUUUCGGGUGUCGUUAAAAAGGUCCUUGUUCGUUUGUUGAAUUUUCUCAGUCGAAUGAAAAAGCAUUUAGAAAUGUAUUCUAAACUCAGUGUAUUUUUUAAUUAUUGAUUACUAAUAAACAGUAUUUAGCGAUAAGAAA
RNAcentral lists this long non-coding RNA (1303 nucleotides) under Salmo salar (Atlantic salmon). RNAcentral describes it as "lncRNA (ENSSSAG00000097827.1)". The record is from RNAcentral. Lineage: Eukaryota; Metazoa; Chordata; Actinopteri; Salmoniformes; Salmonidae.